This 431-nucleotide ribosomal RNA is filed under the name uncultured bacterium. RNAcentral's name for it is "bacterial SSU rRNA". It matches the Rfam family "Bacterial small subunit ribosomal RNA", at positions 29 to 506 of the family's 1533-position model. The record is from RNAcentral.
AUGAACGCUGGCGGCGUGCCUUAGGCAUGCAAGUCAAGGGGGCCCCGCAAGGGGCAACCGGCAGACGGGUGAGUAAUACAUAGGAAUCUACCCUUUGGUGUGGAAUAGUCCGCCGAAAGGCGGGGUAAUACCGCAUAAGACCGCGAGGUGAAAGGGCGUAACUGCCCACCGAUGGAUGAGCCUAUGUCCUAUCAGCUUGUUGGUAGGGUAACGGCCUACCAAGGCAACGACGGGUAGGGGCGCUGAGAGGCGAGACCCCCACAAUAGCACUGAGACACGGGCUAUACACCUAUGGGUGGCAGCAACCGGGAAUAUUGCGCAAUGGGCGAAAGCCUGACGCAGCGACGCCGCGUGGAGGAUGAAGGCCUUCGGGUUGUAAACUUCUUUUGUAGUCGAACAUUCGACUGAGAAUAAGCACCUGCAAACUACGU